This is a long non-coding RNA of Raphanus sativus (radish), 911 nucleotides long. RefSeq lists it as uncharacterized. NCBI's taxonomy places the organism in Eukaryota, Viridiplantae, Streptophyta, Magnoliopsida, Brassicales, Brassicaceae. The record is from RefSeq and is a predicted model, not a curated record. The transcript is spliced from 4 exons.
UAGUUGCAAACUAAUAUUGGGCCAAACUAACCUCUCUCUACAUUUAGAGCUUCCGAUCAGUUUUCGCGUCCGGUGACCGGCAGCGGCUUCGUUGUCGGUCACCACAACCUUUUGUUUUUUAUGUAUAUACUCGAUCUUCUGGUCGACUUUUUACUUCCGUUGCGGAUAAUAUAUAUCGCUAGGCGAAUUUUGUUGUGUUCUUCAAUCUUAAAUCGGGUGAAUCUUCAAGGUUUCCAUGGUGUUUCCGAUUUCAGAUUGAGUAAAUAAAGGUUCCGAUUUUAUUCGGAGAGUUUGUGUUUAUGCUUCUCUUUCGUAAGCAUCAUUGAGAUUCCCCUUGUAAUAGCCCAUUGGGUCUUUCCUUUAAUGGAAAAUGUUGACAGAAAAAAAAAAAACUAAUAUUGGGCCAGUGGAAAAGGCCGGGGGUCGGGCAAGGUCCAAACUCAAAACUACAAGCCGAUAAAAAAGACGCGGACCAAUAUAUUCGCCUGUCUGAGACAGAAGGAAAGAGAGGACGAACCCUAAUCCCAAUCAUGCCACCGAAUCUGAGAACCCUAGUUGCCAAGUGCCGUGGAGGGAUGGACUCUCUCCUCAGAUUCUCUUCAAGCACUGCUUCGAACGCUCCUGAGAUUAAGACUUUGCUGUUGGCGGAGAUUACGAACCCUAAUCUGUUCACAUGUGCAGGGCUUGGAUAUGGCUGUUACACCACUUGGCAACUCAUUCAACUCUAUGAAUAUCGCCGCACGCUGUGGAGAAAUAUGGUAGAGGAAGUCCUGGAUGCUUGGUCUUCGCAAACCAAAAACUAAAAAUACUAAUUUCUCUAGUUUCAUGUUAAUCUCUGUAGUGAUGAUGCUCUUCUUGCUUUUGAAAAAUUAAAAAGAAGGUUAAAUUAAUGUAUGGUUUGCAAUUGCUUA